CGGAUCGCGGCGAGAAAGACCCGCAAGGGUUGCCAGAGGACGAGCCUGCGGCCCAUCAGCUAGUUGGCGAGGUAACGGCUCACCAAGGCGAAGACGGGUAGCUGGUCUGAGAGGAUGAUCAGCCACACUGGAACUGAGACACGGUCCAGACUCCUACGGGAGGCAGCAGUGGGGAAUAUUGCGCAAUGGGCGAAAGCCUGACGCAGCCACGCCGCGUGAGCGAUGAAGGCCUCGGUCGUAAGCUCUGUGGGAGGAGAAGAAUAAAGACCUGUGAAGAGCAGGCCUUGACGGUAUCUCCUUAGCAAGCACCGGCUAACUCCGUG
RNAcentral lists this ribosomal RNA (323 nucleotides) under uncultured bacterium. RNAcentral describes it as "bacterial SSU rRNA". It matches the Rfam family "Bacterial small subunit ribosomal RNA", at positions 189 to 507 of the family's 1533-position model. The record is from RNAcentral.